UUGAUCCUUCCCUGCUCAGAGCAACAUCAGAAUCCAUUGCUGUUGCAGGAGAAGAGACUCUGGCUUCACACAGUCUGUGAGGAUCCUCAGACCUUUGCAAAAAUGCUCAGAUUCUCACAGAGUUUGAGCCUUUUAGAUUCUCACAGAGUUUGAGCCUUUUCUGCAAGCUGGUCUAGGGGCACUGGGCACCUCCUCUGGGAGAACACCACUGGAGCAGACAGCCUGUGUCAGUGGCAGCUGGGCUGCUGUCGGAACAAUGAAUCCUGGCUGGAGAAGGACAGAACAGAAGCCAUGUCCAAAAAACCAUCUCUAAUGUGAUUUGGGGUUUUUUUUCAUUGUGCUGUAGGCCUUAAUUCAUUUCAAACUGUUUUCUUCUGUGUCCUUCAGUUGCUUCCCCACUACUGCUCCAUAUAUUUAAAGCAAAUGACCCCGAAAAGAGAGGAAGUCCGUUUAAAAGAGCUACUGAGCUUUUGUGCAAAGCCCAGAAUAUUUUUUUCUGCACAACCAGUGGAGAAAUGAGAAUAGCUUGGCCAGUUUCAAGAGAAAAUUCUCCAUCUUUAGUGAGCAUUUAGACUGCAGUAAAGAUCGAACUACAAAGCCAAAGGCAAAACUACAGAGGAGGCUUACAGGCUAGGUGGGCAGUUUGCUGCAGGAGCAGGGAAGUAAGCCUUACCCAUUGCUUCUCUUGUAGUGGGAAUUUGCCAUUCCGCUGGCACUGUAAACACAGCAAAGAGGUUUUAUCACAAAGAAGUCUGAAAAGGUGUCAGUUUGCAAAACUGAAGGAGCUGGCAGGAUUUAAAUUCCAGAAACAAAACUGCUAUAAUUGUUUUCCCUCUUGUUCAUUUUGUCUGAUUAUAGUCCAGAGCCAAAAAUACUUCAGUAGCUUGCAAAGCUGGAAGCUAACCAGGUUAUCAAAAUGGGCUCCAGCUCACUGAGGGAUGGCAAGAAAUAUGCUUUUCUUCUUUAGGAUGCUGUUAAUAGUUUUGUAUUGCUUGCCAGCUUAUUAAAACUUUGAAUUUAUUUGAGAGGAGGUGGCUAAUUGAGGAAGAUCCUUGAUUUUUCUUUGAAGAAAACAAGUUUGCUGUGUACAGUUCAUAUAAAUAGGGAGAGAAAGAGACGUCUGACUAAUUAUGAAAGGUAUGGUGAAAUCUAGCUCGCAGUCCCUGUUUUACACAUAGCCCUUUCCGUAUGCCAAGUUAGGACCCAUGCAGGUGAAUGUCACCCUAACAGCCUACUUACACUGAAAAAUUACUCCUGUUAUCUUGGGUUCCCCAUGUCCUGUACUAAUACACACAGAAUUAAGCACACUUAGCGCUUGUACGUUGUCAAAGAUUGAUGUGAAUCGCAAACUUUUAAUGAUAUGUUAAGCAUGACAGUCUCUCGCAUCCAGAAGAGCAGGUCUUGUUAGUAAGCCUAAGAAUCAGCAGGAGCUUGUGCAAGUGGUCGCACCAAAUGGUUGUCAAGCUAUGAAAGCAACAGGUAAUUCAGGUGCAGUAUCUCACAGACUACUGUAAUUUUUAAAGUGAGCUUUGUGAGCUUGUGCUCAGGCUUAUACAGGUAGUGUGUGUCAAGUUAAAGCUACAUGAAGCAUUUUUUUUGCUUCACUCCACAAGCUGUUUGCACAAGAGUUACAGGUAUAAGUUAUCAGCGUGCUAUUGAUAGAUAUUGCAAUAAUUAUUUUUAUUACUUCAUUAUCAUGUAUUUGGAGCUCUGCAGUGACAGUAAUAAUAAUUUAAAAAAAAAAAAUUAUUAGCCACAAAGGAAUGCUUAUUCAUGGUGACUUUAAAAUGUCAUAGCGAUGCUCUGAAGCAGUACAGAAACUGUGAAGUUUAAUGCAUAUAGCCAACAGGGCAUUAAAGCUUUAUGGCUCAAGAACUCCACUAUGAACACAUAACAAUAUUUUUCUUCUAACAUAGUUGCAUCUUCAUAAAAUCUGUUAAACUGCAGCUUGCAGAUGAAGUCUGAAGUACAAAACAAAUUAAAGUACAGUAACCCUGAAAGGACAAAUUGAUCUAACCAGAGCUGUAUUACUUACAGGAAAAAGAAUUGGGAUUACUGAUGGCUCACUGCACAGAAACAGCAUUUACUAUGAUGGAAAAGUGUAUACCAUGGAUUAACUCUGUCAGUUUUGCACUGGCCUGUUUCUCAUUUUACAUGGCCAACACUUUGAUCCAUGCUAUAAUGUAGGUACUUACAAUCCUGGGAAACUUGCUGCCCCAAACUAAAGAUGAAAUAAUUUAAUCAUAGGUACUUGGACAGGCAUUUUUCAAACCAAUUUAAUUAUGUUUCAUUGUUUACAGCCUGUGUCUUUCUGUGAGUAUUACAUCCGGAGAUAAUUUAAGAGCACAACCUGCUUGUAGGCUUAGGUGUGUGGAACAUUUGAAAGAAAAUGCAAAAUUGGUUAGUUGUUACAGUUCAUAACUCCAGACUAUUCAAGUUUGAAUAUCUUUGUGUUUUCUUUUCUUUUUCUGUUAAGGAAUUUACUCUUUUUAUGAAUUUCUGUCUCUAAUUUUGCCAUUCCUCUGCCUGUAAAUACAUAUAUUCUUAUGUAGUUUAGGAAUGAAUGAUAGCAUUACAGUGAUUUCAGACAGAUUUUGAGUUCUGCUAUAUUCCUAUAACAUCUCAGAAGUUCCAGGGGCCUCAGAAGGGUUGUUCCAGAUUUACAGUUGUAUAACCCCAGCAGAAUUUUAUCAUUUUAUAUUUGCAUUCAGAUCCAAUGCUUUAGUCAUCCAGGUCCCUAAGCUGGUUAUCCAGUCCAGUUCUUAGUGCUGUUUUAACUGUUGCACUCACAACUUUUAUGAAUUUCAUAUAACAUUAGAUGACAGUAAAUAGGUAAAAAGAUAAACUGAGCUUUUAAAGAUGGAACCUGCUGAUAUAUUUUACUAAUUUCUAGAUCUAUUAUGUCACUAGUACUCUUUGGAAAAGUUCUAAUUUACAAAAUAUGAUCUCAUGGUAUGUUUUAUCUUAUUGGCUUCUUGCCGUAUUGCCAGAAUGCAGUGCAUUCAGAGAGAGGCAACCAAAAUGCAUGCUUCAGCAGCCUAUGCAUGCAAAGAAAGAGAGCAAAGCUGGUUUUCAUUUUGUAGAAACAGAUCCUAGUUACAGUAUACCUCCAACUGAAUGGCUUUUUAUUAUUAGUUUUAUGUUUUUGAUUUUCAUUGGGUUCUUUGGUUUUAUGUUUUUGAGGCAUGUGUAUCUCAUGUUCACAGGAGUAGUCCAAGUUUCAGAAGUUUUCUUAGGGUGAAUUUAACGCUUUUAAAAGCAUCACUGGAAACCAUCAUUCUCUGCCUGCUCACAAAUGCAGCAACUCUUUCUGCACUAUUCACGAAAGAUCCCUUACAAAAUACUACAUAUUUUUCCACCCUUGCUCAGAAGUAGUUUAUUGGCAUGCAAGGACCAAAGCUCCUGAAUCAGUGUCACUUAUUUUACACAGAAGAGCCAGACAGAGGUGUAGCACAAGCCCCUGCUUGCCCUUUUCUUUUCCUGGAGCAUCCUGCGUGACCACCAAGGUGAAUGACCUAGGCUGCUCCUUUACAAAACCUUGUGCUGCUCCUGAGACCGGCAGAAGAAAACACAACUGUGAGGUGGUCAGACGUCCCUGGCAGCUCCUGCCCAGCACAGACGCAGCACAGACCUUCCUUCACCCGCUCGUGCAGAGAGAACAACAGACCUCAACUGGUGCUUGGCUGGCGGGAAUGGGAGCACCACCAGGCACAAGCCUUGCCUUGAACUGCCCCACCUGUGCUCCGCAGAAGACAAAAACGCACCAUGUAGGCCCUUCAGUCUGCCUAUAGGCAACCUUCAGAGGAUCGAUGCUGGCUGUCGCACAGAACGCUGCAACAUGGAGCAUGUGGCUUGUGCCACAGAUGCCAUCACAGCAGUGGUGCUGUAGGCCCUACAUGGAGAAUUCACAGAGCCCCGUGCUGUGACAGUAACAUCCACCACAAACACACUGAGACAGUGAAUCUGAAUCUUGUUUUGCAAGAACCUGAUAGCGGACAAUUCUGUGUCUUGUACUUCUUUAUAAAAGAGAUGGUGUUCGUGCUUCACUGCACUUAACACCAUAUUACAUAUUCUAUAGUUGCAGGCUAGGUGCAUGCACAGAUUUGCCAGCAGUGGCUAUGAUUGCACAAAUAUGCAACAAGGAGUGUUAACGACAUGCUUCGCUCCAGAAAGUCAGUUAAAAUCCUGAGAGGAGACUGAUGGUAGUUCAGUGAAAUUUCGUCACUCCCAAAGAGGUGACUGGAAGAAUAAGUCAUUCCCAAAGGACUCCUCAGGAACAGUCCAAAGCUACAGGCCAGAUCAUUUAUUUUAGAAUACUGUUGCCUGAGCCCAUCUAUUGUUGGGUCUGAUGCAGCUUUUAUUCUUGUCAACUCAGCAUCCUCAGUUUUCUUGCAAAUCAUUUACCGCACACUGGAGAUGUAUCAUGGUGUGGGAAAUAACAGAUUUUUUUCUGAACAGCUAUCAUCAUUCAGCUUCCAGAAAGUACUACUGAAGGUAGGUAUGCUCACUGUGCUCACUGAUAAAGUAAGUCCAAUGGAGAGACAGGGCUCUAAUCCAAUUUGUUUCACAAAUAGAGCUAAGGAACAAGCAGCAUCAAGGAGCAAGCCAGCUAGCAGCAGUCAAACACUGUAUCCUACGUACUAACAUUAACUUUAAUGACACAGUCCAUGAACUUUUUAGAAGGCACAGAGAAUACUGGGAGUGGAAGGAACAGAAGUUUUUGAUGGAGGGAAAUAGCAUUCACAUUUCAAUAAGCUCCAAAAAUGCCUUUUCCAAACAGAGGUGCUUUGUGUUACGCCAUUCCUGUUGGCCGUUUGGGGGUUUUUCAUUAGAUGUAUGAACUUCUUGCCAUAGUAAUAAAGGUCAGGCACUAUUGUGCUUCUUUUAUGAUACUCACUAGCACAAGUCAUGUAUACAAACCCAGGAAGUAUUUAUUUAUGUGGAAUACGUACUUAAAUAGUGGACUACAAAUCAUUUAAAGAUGCCUAUGAUAUGAAUCAUACCACAAUUUCAUGGAUAAGUGGAAACAUUAUGCAACUUACUGAGUUUUUAAAGCACUAACGAAUGUGAACUAUACAGCAGACUUGAGCUGGACCUUUUCACCCCUUCUAAUAUAUGCUGUUGCUAUUUAAUAUUCCUCACUAGGGAGUAAUGCUGGCAUACAAGUCAGCAAUAUAUUAGGCACUGGAGCCAUGAACCUAGUGAGAACAUAAACUAAACUGAUUUUCAAUUUUGGUACAUUACAAAAAGGACUAUUAUUGUGAGGUUAGGAUGUCAAAGUUGGUGACCUGGUAUAAUGAAGUAUUCCCUGCCACAUAGUCAAGCGUGAAAAGUAAUUGGAGGCGGUAUAAACUUUUAGAGGCUUAGGGUUUUUUCCCUCCCAAAUUAAAUAUUCUUUUGCACACACUUUUUUUUUUAAUUAAAAAUAGUCAUUUUUGUGAAGCAUCAUAAAAGCAGAAAUGAUGCUCCCGUAAAGUUUGCAGUUGAUGGAGAAACAUGUGUGUUUAGAAAUGAGGUCACAUCUUAACGCUUGGGUUACUUACAUAAGGCACUGAUGAAAAGCAAGUUGCUACCUGCCAGCUAGGAAUGACAUUAAAAUAUUAUGGCAGCAUGUGACCAGCUUUAGAGCUUAAAAUCUUGAAAGGACACAGACAAUGUCCCCUUUGAAGAAUACUCCUGAAGACCACUUUACAGUUUCUGCUAAGCUUUAAAACACGGAGUAAAGUGCCCCAUGUCUAAGCAGCAACGAUAAAAGUUGUUACUUCUUAGCUGCAACAUUUACAUCUGAAAAACCAGCACCAAAGUGUGCACAGGUCUUUCAGCUUGCCCGUCAAAGAAAAAGGGUUAGCAUUUAGUGUAGGGAAUGGUGCGUUAGUACUGCGAAUCCCAUACUCCAGGUGUUCAUUAUGGCUCCACAUCCCGACUUUCUGCACUGGCUUUGACCAAGUUAUUCUCGAUUUCCUCUGGCACAAGCAUUGCGUGAGCUGGCACAGCAUCACUCCCCAGGAACUAGACUGCAGAGGGCACUCCUAUAUAAGAAGGAAUUGCAGUCUCCAGGCUCAUUUACUUUUAGCCUCGAUGAUUCAUUGUUAUUUUUUCUUCUUUAAUAAUUAAUGAUGCUAUUAUUACACUAAAAGGAAAAUCUUAUUAUUCUUGACAAUUGGUUUUGUUAUGAUUAUUUAUUUCCCCCUCCCCCCAAGUUUAUACAAUUACAAUGUCUGUCAGUGCUUGUAUCAUGUUCGGGUUGUCAGCCUCAGAAAUUAAAUGUACACAGAAGGAUGACCUAUUGAUAUACCAUCCCUAGGUAUAACUUGAGGGAAGCAUGGAUGAGGACGGAGACAGCUUUUGCCAUGUGGCUGGGAAGUCAGAGAGAUUCUGCCUGAGGCAGGCCAUCCAUGGAGCAAUAUGAAAGCUACCUUCCCCUUCCUCUCGUCCUGUUUCUGAAAGGGUUUGUUGGAAGCAUUACUUUGGUCUGGAUUUCAGCUGUGACAGCGAGGAAAGACGCAGUCUCUCAAACAACAGGUCCUGAGCCUCAUGGGGUGGAUUUCUGCCCCCUGAACUGCUCUUCAGGAGGUGAGGCUGGACAAACAUGCUGCAGCUAAAUGUGGCCAGAGAUAUGCAGUUUACAUGGCACAGCAGAGGCAGGGGGGUGCAAAGCAUGUGGCAGAGGCAGUGCAAUAGACUGGGGACUCUCUGAAUAGCAGGCAGCUGGGUUAAGGCUACCAUAAUGCAAACUACUCUCUAGAGCUGUUACAUGAGGCCAUUAAAACCCUGAGGUGCCUCAAGACUGGAAAGAAGCAAGUGUAGUUUAUGGCUACUUUAGCCACGCCCUCCCCUUCCCUUUUAUGAAUUAGAGGUAAAGCCUGUAAUGGCAUCACCCAACAUCUCAGCCUUAAGGCUGAAUAGCUUAAAGCCAACAGAAGUAAUUCUGGAAGUUCAGCUGGAGCCUAUGCAACUCCUACAUUGCAGUUUAAAUGUGCUUCCAAUAUUUAGCUUUGUUUAAUGAGAACAAGUCUGUACUAGCUUUGGCUUCUGCAGGGGAUACAGCUCAUGUAUCAUCCAACCGACAACAGAAGGGUCAUUUCAUUUCCUGUGGGUAGUGGAAAGUGAUCUGCCUUUUCACACUUACUUCUGGAAACUUGUCACAGGGAAAGUGUAGGAUCCGGCUAACGCUGUGCAAAAGAGCUGACCAAGCAAGGAUAGUGGGACCUGGCUGAUGGAGCAGCAAAUACACUUCCACAGCUGAGCCUUGAAUCAUGUUUAUUUUCAAACUGAAGACCUCACAUUUCAAGUGAGACAUUUGCUCAGUAAAAUGCAUGCAUUUCGUAUUUCAUUACCCCAUGCUGUAUAUCUCAUACAGUGGUUAAGAAAUGAAGAAGUGUGGAAAGGACAGUUAUUCGGGAGAGCUGUAACCAUAAAGAUUCCACUGAACAGGAUUUUCCCUUGUUCCAAACUGUUAUCUCACUAGAUGAAAACAUUGUGCUUUAUGAUUAAGCUAAUUGUGUUGGACAAGCCAGUCUGCAGCUGUAGAAGCCUGGAUUUUCAAAUGUGCUGAGCACUGGCAACCGCAACCAAAGUCAGUGGGGGCAUUUAAAGUGCAAUUAAAUGUGAAGUUCUCCGAAAAUUCAGGCCAGAGGCUAUCUGUAAAACGGGAGCAGAGAUGCUACUUUGCCUCACAGGGGUACUGUGAAAAUUUGUGGCACAGCUACUUACACUAGUGAGAAGUUACACUGGAAAGUCUGUGGAAAAAAAGUGCCUUUUUUCAGACCAGGGUUUGGCUAUAAAUGUUAAAAUAAGGCCUUGAGCCACCAACUGAACAGUGAAGAGGAAACAAACUUGUAUGGCUUGCCCAUUUGUAGACUGAAUGGAUGAUGGAUCAUGGCCCCUCCCUCCCAAAACAGGUUAAAAAUCAUAAUAGUAUACCACAUGGGCUGAAUUAAUGUUAUGCAAGCAUAUCUAAUGCUAGCAUUCCCUAGAGCAUUCCCCUUAAACAGGGUGUGUGGUAUUUUUUAAAAUAUAUGUACUAUAUUUAUAAAUAUAGGUAAUAUGCAUAAACAAUGUAUAUUUGAGUAAGAAAUCUCUAUAGAUAAUCCAGCAAAGGGAGAUGAGGAUGAUUAGGGGACUGGCACAUCUGACAUGUGAGGAGAGGCUGAGAGAGGUGGGACUGCUGAGCCUGGAGAGGAGGAGAAGAGAAGGCUCGUGGUGGGAAUCUCAUCAAUGCGUGCAAAUGCCCAAAAGGAGGGUGUAAAGAAGACAGAGACUACCUCUUCUUAGUGGCAUCCAUUGAAAGGAUAGGAGACAAUGGGCACAAAUUGAAACACAGGAGAUUCCAUUAACAAAAAUGUAAGAAAAAAGGAUUUUUACUACAUGGAUGAUCAAACACUGGAACAAGUUGCCCAGUGAGAUUGCGCAGUCUCUAUCCCUGGAGUUAUUCAAAACUCCACUGGACAAAAUCCCGAGCAACCUGCUCUCAUUGACUCUGCUUUUAUCAGGAGGUUGGACUAGAUGGUCUCCAGAGGUGCCUUCCAACCUCAACCAUCCUGUGAUAAGCGAGGCAAUAUUUUUUUCCAAUUUCUCCUUUAUUCACUUUCCUUGCAGUGUUGGCAGAAUAGAUUGGUUUGCAUCCUGUUCUGGUUUGGGGUUUCUGCUUUUUUUUCUCCUUUAUCAACUCUAUCUUUUCCUUUUGUGGAUGCUGCUCUCUAAUUUUACAGGUUAUUGUAGUGUUCUGCUAGGUCUCCUGAAGUUAAAACCUCUUUCUUCUUUUGUGAGUGAGGCUUCAGAGCAACAUCGCUAAGUGCACCACUGAGAAAUAAAAAUUAAACAAAAUAUGGCAUAGAAUGUAGCAGAAACUGAAAUGAAAGUAUUCUCCUAAUGUCACUACAGUAGAAACUGAAUCUAUUUCAGUGUACUUUUUCAACUGAAUAGGGAAAACACUUGUAAUAGGUGAGGACUAAUUUGCCCGCAACUACCUAUAAACUGAAGAAGUGACCAAGAACAAGGGCUGACGUAAUAAUAGUGGUAAGGUGAAAUUAUUAUAUAAGAACAGAAAUUUGUAAUUUAACUCGUUUGGGGGAGUGGUUCUAAGGAAUAAAAAUACCAAAGUUGAAUACCCAUAAUAACAACAGUUAGAAUUAGCAGUAACUAUUGCCCUGCAGCCUGCUGUUACAGCUGAGACAGUUUUGUAAUGUUUUAGAUACUAUGACACAGUCUUUUAUAUGCUUCUCUACCUAAAUGUUACAGCAAAACUAUAUCCUAUUGCCUUAACAUAUUUCCUGCCUUUCCAUGAACGAUUGUGAUUGACCUACUCACUUUACAGUCAUUUUUUGAUAGGUUUUCAAGGUAGUAUUUAACCAUAUAGUGACUGACAUGACAUAAACUCAGCAGUGUACCUUGCCAGGGUGAUGGGAACGUUUUUAAAGCUGCAUAACGCAUGGAAAUGUAGCAAACCAUUUAAAUGAUUAACACACUUACUAUUAGCAGGGUAGAAGAUAAUUACAGAAUGAUUCACAAUGUUUUGUUAUUGUAAUAGCUACUUGUAUUUGGGUUGUGGUAACAUUCAAAAUUGUUCAGCACAACUGCAAAAAACCUAUCAAAGUCUAUAAAUACUUCACAGGCAAACAGAGACAACACUGUGUCACACUGGACAUGCUAAUUAUGGAAGAUCCUCAAACCAGAUAGAUAUCUUUUCUUUCUUUCACACUUUCUGCUUUUUGUUUCCUCUUUAACAUUGUUUUUUUAGCUACUUGUUCCAGUUGGCCUUCAUUGAUAUUUAUUGCUUUUUUUGUAGGACUCUGGAAAAUACAACUGACUGGUAUAUUUAUAUCAUGUGAAUAUGUAAUGAGUGCUAUCAGAUCAUCUUUUUGCUCAUUCAAAAUUCUAAGUAGAAUGGAUCUUCUGUACCUUAUCUGCCCAGUUUCAGCAAUGCCUUAAGCACUGAAUUUUUUUAUAGUGAUAUUCAGGCUGAUUUUCAGACUUGUUUUCUUGCAUAUUUUGUUUUACUCCUAAAGAUACUGAUGGACGGUGCAAAAUAUCACUUCAUUUCUUCUAAAAUCUAGCCUCAGUAUCUGUACCUGGCUUUAUUAUGACUCUGUGUUUGGAUAUUUUUUUGUUCAGGAAGAGGGAAUAGAAGUGGGGUUCAACAGAUGUGAUUAUAAUAUUGUAACAUCCUUUAAGAGUGCUGGGUAAGUUGCUCACCUUGUUCUUCUUUCUACUCUGAGGAGCCUGGGAAAAGUGUAAGUUCUGUUAGUUAUUGUGUGUUUACUGGGAUUUGCCCCACUCCUGCAAUAUGAAUAAACUUGUUUAUGAAUAAUAAAUCUGAUAAUGAAU
This is a long non-coding RNA of Harpia harpyja (harpy eagle), 10326 nucleotides long. RefSeq lists it as uncharacterized. The transcript is spliced from 4 exons. The record is from RefSeq and is a predicted model, not a curated record. NCBI's taxonomy places the organism in Eukaryota, Metazoa, Chordata, Aves, Accipitriformes, Accipitridae.